AUGUACCCCUCGUACACUCCGGUUCUGAGCGCGCCGUCCACACCCACCUGACGACUGCUCGCUACGUUUUGUUAGCC
Molecule: small RNA, 77 nt
Filed under: Xanthomonas sp. NCPPB 1560
Lineage: Bacteria; Pseudomonadati; Pseudomonadota; Gammaproteobacteria; Lysobacterales; Lysobacteraceae
Also listed under: 14 other names
Description: sX9 sRNA
Rfam family: Xanthomonas sRNA sX9
Source: RNAcentral